RNAcentral lists this ribosomal RNA (383 nucleotides) under uncultured bacterium. RNAcentral's name for it is "bacterial SSU rRNA". It matches the Rfam family "Bacterial small subunit ribosomal RNA", at positions 29 to 437 of the family's 1533-position model. The record is from RNAcentral.
AGCGAACGCUGGCGGCAGGCUUAACACAUGCAAGUCGAGCGGGCGUAGCAAUACGUCAGCGGCAGACGGGUGAGUAACACGUGGGAACAUACCUUUUGGUUCGGAACAACACAGGGAAACUUGUGCUAAUACCGGAUAAGCCCUUACGGGGAAAGAUUUAUCGCCGAAAGAUUGGCCCGCGUCUGAUUAGCUAGUUGGUGAGGUAACGGCUCACCAAGGCGACGAUCAGUAGCUGGUCGAGAGGAUGAUCAGCCACAUUGGGACUGAGACACGGGCCCAAACUCCUACGGGAGGCAGCAGUGGGGAAUAUUGGACAAUGGGCGCAAGCCUGAUCCAGCCAUGCCGCGUGAGUGAUGAAGGCCCUAGGGUUGUAAAGCUCUUUU